GUAGCCUUGGAUACGGCUGCAUGGGGGUGGGAGGCCUGUGAGAGGCCUUUGUCCCCCGAGACUCUGUGGAAGGAGGCCAUGGACAGCUGGCUUCUGGGCCCGCCACGGAGAGGAAAGGGAUGGUAAGGGACUGAACCAGGUGUGGAUCCACUGUAGCAAGCGUCCCCUCCAACACCGUUGCUGUUGUGUGGCAAGCAAACUUGUGCAGAAAAACCAAGUGGAGACGUUUCUAGGCUGAAAAAAACUGAGGAACCAAGGUGCCUUGGCGUCAAGAAGAGUCUGGAUGCCGGAGUCCAUGUUGUGGCUAAGGACCCAGGAGGGAAGAGGAAGUGGAAACAGCGCGCAGCCCCAACAUAAACUAGAAACGCGAUUUCCAUGCGAGGAAGGGUGGAGGAGGCAGGCUCUGAACUUGAACACUUUCACAAUGAAAAGAAUCCCUGCCCGAAGGGCCAGAAAACGUUCUCUGGUGUAGACGAUCUCCAUCUGGCGGGGAGACCCGCACUGUUAGGACCCUCUCCAGGCGGUGCACCUGGGAUAAACCCAGAGGACUCACUAGGUCGCAGCUACAGCGUGGACUCUCGUCUGCUCCAUCCCCACCAAGCUGGUUUUCAGUCAUUGGAAGGGAUGAGAGGGGCAGCAGGAACCACCCACAGUUUUCACACUUUUGAAAGAAAAGGGUACCUGUACGGGAGCCAGGAUAUGUUCACACUGGGAAAAUUCUAUGCUGUGUACUAAUCCUGGCUCUGUGUUGGCUAUGACUUUGUAUUGGUGCCAAGAUGGAAGAUGGAGACUGUCUUGCCUGAUGGCCAGCAACUCACGGGAUUCAGAGAGAUGCUACUGUCUUAAGAUGCCUCGGGAUGCUGCCGCGUGCAGUGAUUUCUCAACAAUCGCCAUCCAGCACUUCUAAAAGGUGGCGCAGGGACCAUCUUAUCACAGCAGAAAAGAGUUCUGUUUAUUUUGCUGAAAACUCCAAACACCAACCUAAGCAUUUGCACGACGACGCAUGGACUCCAAACUACGGAGUUUCUGACUUGGUCCUAAAAGAAAUAAAUAA
Peromyscus eremicus (cactus mouse) is the source of this 1054-nucleotide long non-coding RNA. RefSeq lists it as uncharacterized. The transcript is spliced from 4 exons. The record is from RefSeq and is a predicted model, not a curated record. Lineage: Eukaryota; Metazoa; Chordata; Mammalia; Rodentia; Cricetidae.